AGAGUUUGAUCCUGGCUACAGGACGAACGCUGGCGGCGUGCUUAACACAUGCAAGUCGAACGGAAAGGCCCGCUUGCGGGUACUCGAGUGGCGAACGGGUGAGUAACACGUGGGCAACCUGCCCUCAGCUCUGGGAUAACUCCGGGAAACCGGUGCUAAUACUGGAUAGGACUUCGCAUCGCAUGGUGUGGGGUGGAAAGUUUUUCGGCUGAGGAUGGGCCCGCGGCCUAUCAGCUUGUUGGUGGGGUAAUAGCCUACCAAGGCGACGACGGGUAGCCGGCCUGAGAGGGCGACCGGCCACACUGGGACUGAGACACGGCCCAGACUCCUACGGGAGGCAGCAGUGGGGAAUAUUGCGCAAUGGGCGAAAGCCUGACGCAGCGACGCCGCGUGAGGGAUGACGGCCUUCGGGUUGUAAACCUCUUUCAGCUCUGACGAAGCGAAAGUGACGGUAGGAGCAGAAGAAGCACCGGCCAACUACGUG
Molecule: ribosomal RNA, 484 nt
Filed under: uncultured Nakamurella sp.
Lineage: Bacteria; Bacillati; Actinomycetota; Actinomycetes; Nakamurellales; Nakamurellaceae
Description: bacterial SSU rRNA
Rfam family: Bacterial small subunit ribosomal RNA
Source: RNAcentral